GGAAUGUCGAGAUAACAAGCAACAUCUGAAAAGGUCUCCUAGGAGUCAGUGCAGUGCAGCACUGGGUGAGGCUGGAGCACAAGCUGAGAGGCGUGAGGGCUGUGUAUAGUAAGAACCCUGCAAAGGAUGUGCGGACACUCAUGGAAGGAAGGAUCAGCACACUAUGAGAAAGUGUAAUGCGUGCAGGAAGCAAAGGGCAGCUGCUGAAGAGCUCCAUGUAAGAUGUGUCUUCUUCCCCUUUGCCACCUGCCAUAAUUGUACAUUUCCUGAGGCCUCCCAGAAGCCAAGCAGAUGUCAAAAUCAUGUUUCCUGUACAGCCUGUGGAACUGUGAGCCAAUUAAACCUCUUUUCUUCAUAAAUUACCCAGUCUUAGGUAUUUCUUUGUAGCAAUGCAAUCCAAGCA
RNAcentral lists this long non-coding RNA (403 nucleotides) under Homo sapiens (human). RNAcentral's name for it is "HSALNT0062587". Lineage: Eukaryota; Metazoa; Chordata; Mammalia; Primates; Hominidae. The record is from RNAcentral.